RNAcentral lists this ribosomal RNA (700 nucleotides) under uncultured archaeon. Its description in RNAcentral is "bacterial SSU rRNA". It matches the Rfam family "Archaeal small subunit ribosomal RNA", at positions 350 to 1054 of the family's 1478-position model. The record is from RNAcentral.
UUACAAUGCGAGCAAUCGUGAUAAGGAAACCCUGAGUGCCUGUCGAUGCAGGCUGUUCAUAUAUCUAAAUCAUAUGUGAAGAAAGGGCAGGGCAAGACCGGUGCCAGCCGCCGCGGUAAUACCGGCUGCUCGAGUGAUGGCCACUAUUACUGGGUUUAAAGCGUCCGUAGCUUGACUGUUAGGUCUCUUGGGAAAUCUUCAUGCUCAACGUGAAGGCGUCUAAGAGAUACCGGCAGUCUUGGAACUGGGAGAGGUAAACCGUACUUCGGGGGUAGGAGUGAAAUCUUGUAAUCCUCGAGGGACGACCUAUGGCGAAGGCAGUUUACCAGAACAGCUUCGACAGUGAGGGACGAAAGCUGGGGGAGCAAACGGGAUUAGAUACCCCGGUAGUCCCAGCCGUAAACAAUGUGCGUUAGGUGUGUCGGUAACCACGUGUUACUGAUGCGCCGAAGAGAAAUCGUGAAACGCACCACCUGGGAAGUACGGUCGCAAGGCUGAAACUUAAAGGAAUUGGCGGGGGAGCACCACAACAGGUGGAGCCUGCGGUUUAAUUGGAUUCAACGCCGGACAUCUCACCGGAUAAGACAGCUGAAUGAUUGUCAAUCUGAAGGUUUUACAUGACUAGCUGAGAGGAGGUGCAUGGCCGUCGUCAGUUCGUACUGUGAAGCAUCCUGUUAAGUCAGGCAACGAGCGAGACCCA